AAAUUGUUUAUCAUCUUAAAGUUGUCUUUUGUAUUCUAUUUAAUUGUUUGAAUGCAUAGAUCAUGAGUUUAUGAUCAGAUAUUAGUCAACACUGCAUUUUAUAAUGAUACACUGAAAUUAGGAUUUUUCGAAGAAAUUGGACUGAAAUUGCCGUAGGAUAUGGCCUUACAUUAUAGUGAUUUUCUCUGAAACUAUAGUUCUGACUGAGACAAAACUUGACAGUUAUGCUUGAAAUAACUUGCAAUUGGAGGGAAAAAAUUACAUUAAGUUUAUUUGACAUUUAGGUGUUCUUUAGGUGUAAUACCACCAAAUCAUGGUACGUCACAUCCGGUUGCAUACGAAAGUAGGCCUAAAAAAAUAUUCCCUUGAAUUUGACAGUUGUAGAAAAUUAACCCUGCAUUUCAAUGCACUUAAAUUUUUCUGAGUCGUAAAUAUGUAUGUUGGGUGUCUGAAAGCAUCAUUCUUUUUUUAUUUGAUGGUCUUAUAAAAUAUUUUGGAACGUUAAGGUUACAUAGUUACCAAAGCAGGUAACCAGUAAAUAACAGUGUAAAAAUUGGGUUGUCUACCCUCGGCGGUGGUUACUUUCUUAUAUGCAAUGAAAUGUAGUGUGAAAUUUUCACUGUAUCACUGGAAAGGAUUGAACUUUACACAUGCAAAGUAUUUCUUUGGUUGAAAUAAAGGUAAAUACUGUACGAUUUUUUUAAAAGUGCCAAUUUAACAAAGACUAAUAGGGAAAAAUCAAUGGUGGUAUUACACCUAUUUAGGGAAACUAAAUGUGCACUCGUGACCCUAUUGUACUUUCAUUUUUAAAAGUUAUUAAUAAACCAGUUCAUACAUUGUAAACAUGGACUAUUCGGAAUGGAUUUAGACACAGAAAGUACGUUUGAGGUAAAAUUGCAUUGAAAUGGGGGUUUACGGGUGUUUUUCUAGUCAAAUGGGUGGACAGACGAAGCUGUAUUUAGAUUACUGUGUUAAAUUUUAAAUUACCCUUACAGUUUUUGUUUUGUUUAUACAACAUGUGAAAUUUUUUAUUUCAGUGUUAACCAUGUUCUGAAGAGCAUUCUGUUGAAAAAUCUUAUAUGUGAAUUGGUCUGCAGAUGACACUUCAGCAUUAAAGUAUGUAUCAACUAUCAUCAUGUUUUUUUUUUGUUUUGGCCGCAAAAGUUUACAAUUUGCCAUUGUGCCGUCUACAUUUUGCACAGACAAUAACUCAUCUAAACACUUAUUUGUCCUGGAUUUAUACACAUCAGAAUCCAGUCUCACAUACUUAAACUUUAUAAUUCUUACCAAUUAUUUUUUGUACCAGCAUUCCAAGGGACAUAACCCUUUUUAAAAACAUUUUGAGGUAUUUUUUAUUACUCUUUCUCCCCAUUUUCUAAUGUAAAAUACAAGAAAGUGGACUUUUUGUGUAAAUCUAUUAGAAAUAUACUGUUAUGAGUAAAUAAAAAGACUUUGAUACCAGUAGCAAUAAAUGAUUGACUGAAAGGGAACCGUUAUUUCUCACACUAGGGGAACAGACCAAAAACUCAAGUUACACAUAAGGGCUUAUAGAAACUUCCGUGUAGACUGUUAACAUUUAUAGAGACAGUUCUUUCAGCUAAAACACUUUAAUUAUUGAUUUAACAUUACAUUUAUUUCAUUUUUGUGGGAAAAUAAUCACAUUUGUUUUAUUUUUUAGACAAAAGAUAUCAAGUUUUGAUGAAAAAGGAAGGAAGGAGGAAAAAUGGACCAAAACAGACCAAAACAGACCUUCAAAUGAACUCUAAAAGGUGCAAUAAAAUUGUUUAUCAUCUUAAAGUUGUCUUUUGUAUUCUAUUUAAUUGUUUGAAUGCAUAUAUCAUGAGUUUAUGAUCAGAUAUUAGUCAACACUGCAUUUUAUAAUGAUACACUGAAAUUAGGAUUUUUCGAAGAAAUUGGACUGAAAUUGCCGUAGGAUAUGGCCUUACAUUAUAGUGAUUUUCUCUGAAACUAUAGUUCUGACUGAGACAAAACUUGACAGUUAUGCUUGAAAUAACUUGCAAUUGGAGGGGAAAAAAAUUAGAUUAAGUUUAUUUGACAUUUAGGUGUUCUUUAGGUGUAAUACCACCAAAUCAUGGUACGUCACAUCCGGUUGCAUACGAAAGUAGGUCUAAAAAAAUAUUCCCUUGAAUUUGACAGUUGUAGAAAAUUAACCCUGCAUUUCAAUGCACUUAAAUUUUUCUGAGUCGUAAAUAUGUAUGUUUGGUGUCUGAAAGCAUCAUUCUUUUUUUUAUUUGAUGGUCUUAUAAAAUAUUUUGGAACGUUAAGGUUACAUAGUUACCAAAGCAGGUAACCAGUAAAUAACAGUGUAAAAAUUGGGUUGUCUACCCUCGGCGGUGGUUACUUUCUUAUAUGCAAUGAAAUGUAGUGUGAAAUUUUCACUGUAUCACUGGAAAGGAUUGAACUUUACACAUGCAAAGUAUUUCUUUGGUUGAAAUAAAGGUAAAUACUGUACGAUUUUUUUAAAAGUGCCAAUUUAACAAAGACUAAUAGGGAAAAAUCAAUGGUGGUAUUACACCUAUUUAGGGAAACUAAAUGUGCACUCGUGACCCUAUUGUACUUUCAUUUUUAAAAGUUAUUAAUAAACCAGUUCAUACAUUGUAAACAUGGACUAUUCGGAAUGGAUUUAGACACAGAAAGCACGUUUGAGGUAAAAUUGCCUUGAAAUGGGGGUUUACGGGUGUUUUCUUAAGUCAAAUGGGUGGACAGACAAAGCUGUAUUUAGUUUACUGUGUUAAAUUUUAAAUUACCCUUACAGUUUUUGUUUUGUUUAUACAACAUGUGAAAUUUUUUUAUUUCAGUGUUAACCAUGUUCUGAAGAGCAUUCUGUUGAAAAAUCUUAUAUGUGAAUUGGUCUGCAGAUGACACUUCAGCAUUAAAGUAAGUAUCAACUAUCAUCAUGUUUUUUAUUGUUUUGGCCGCAAAAGUUUACAAUUUGCCAUUGUGCCGUCUACAUUUUGCACAGACAAUAAAUCAUCUAAACACUUAUUUGCCCUGGAUUUAUACACAUCAGAAUCCAGUCUCACAUACUUAAACUUUAUAAUUCUUACCAAUUAUUUUUUUUUGUACCAGCAUUCCAAGGGACAUAACCCUUUUUAAAAACAUUUUGAGGUAUUUUUUAUUACUCUUUCUCCCCAUUUUCUAAUGUAAAAUACAAGAAAGUGGACUUUUUGUGUAAAUCUAUUAGAGAAAUAUACUGUUAUGAGUAAAUAAAAAGACUUUGAUACCAGUAACAAUAAAUGAUUGACUGAAAGGGAACCGUUAUUUGUCACACUAGGCGAACAGACCAAAAACUCGAGUUACACAUAAGGGCUUAUAGAAACUUCCGUGUAGACUGUUAACAUUUAUAGAGACAGUUCUUUCAGCUAAAACACUUUAAUUAUUGAUUUAACAUUACAUUUAUUUCAUUUUUGUGGGAAAAUAAUCACAUUUGUUUUUAUUUUUUAGACAAAAGAUAUCAAGUUUUGAUGAAAAAGGAAGGAAGGAGGAAAAAUGGACCAAAACAGACCAAAACAGACCUUCAAAUGAACUCUAAAAGGUGCAAUAAAAUUGUUUAUCAUCUUAAAAGUUGUCUUUUGUAUUCUAUUUAAUUGUUUGAAUGCAUAGAUCAUGAGUUUAUGAUCAGAUAGUAGUCAACACUGCAUUUUAUAAUGAUACACUGAAAUGAGCAUUUUUCGAAGAAAUUAGACUGAAAUUGCCGUAGGAUAUGGCCUUACAUUAUAGUGAUUUUCUCUGAAACUAUAGUUCUGACUGAGACAAAACUUGACAGUUAUGCUUGAAAUAACUUGCAAUUGGAGGGGAAAAAAAUUGCAUUAAGUUUAUUUGACAUUUAGGUGUUCUUUAGGGAAACUAAAUGUGCACUCGUGACCCUAUUGUACUUUCAUUUUUAAAAGUUAUUAAUAAACCAGUUCAUACAUUGUAAACAUGGACUAUUCGGAAUGGAUUUAGACACAGAAAGCACGUUUGAGGUAAAAUUGCAUUGAAAUGGGGGUUUACGGGUGUUUUCUUAAGUCAAAUGGGUGGACAGACAAAGCUGUAUUUAGUUUACUGUGUUAAAUUUUAAAUUACCCUUACAGUUUUUGUUUUGUUUAUACAACAUGUGAAAUUUUUUAUUUCAGUGUUAACCAUGUUCUGAAGAGCAUUCUGUUGAAAAAUCUUAUAUGUGAAUUGGUCUGCAGAUGACACUUCAGCAUUAAAGUAAUGUAUCAACUAUCAUCAUGUUUUUUGUGUUUUUUUUGGCCGCAAAAGUUUACAAUUUGCCAUUGUGCCGUCUACAUUUUGCACAGACAAUAAAUCAUCUAAACACUUAUUUGCCCUGGAUUUAUACACAUCAGAAUCCAGUCUCACAUACUUAAACUUUAUAAUUCUUACCAAUUAUUUUUUGUACCAGCAUUCCAAGGGACAUAACCCUUUUUAAAAACAUUUUGAGGUAUUUUUUAUUACUCUUUCUCCCCAUUUUCUAAUGUAAAAUACAAGAAAGUGGACUUUUGUGUAAAUCUAUUAGAAAUAUACUGUUAUGAGUAAAUAAAAAGACUUUGAUACCAGUAACAAUAAAUGAUUGACUGAAAGGGAACCGUUAUUUGUCACACUAGGCGAACAGACCAAAAACUCAAGUUACACAUAAGGGCUUAUAGAAACUUCCGUGUAGACUGUUAACAUUUAUAGAGACAGUUCUUUCAGCUAAAACACUUUAAUUAUUGAUUUAACAUUACAUUUAUUUCAUUUUUGUGGGAAAAUAAUCACAUUUGUUUUAUUUUUUAGACCAAAGAUAUCAAGUUUUGAUGAUAAAGGAAGGAAGGAGGAAAAAUGGACCAAAACAGACCAAAACAGACCUUCAAAUGAACUCUAAAAGGUGCAAUAAAAUUGUUUAUCAUCUUAAAGUUGUCUUUUGUAUUCUAUUUAAUUGUUUGAAUGCAUAGAUCAUGAGUUUAUGAUCAGAUAUUAGUCAACACUGCAUUUUUAUAAUGAUACACUGAAAUUAGGAUUUUUCGAAGAAAUUAGACUGAAAUUGCCGUAGGAAUAUGGCCUUACAUUAUAGUGAUUUUCUCUGAAACUAUAGUUCUGACUGAGACAAAACUUGACAGUUAUGCUUGAAAUAACUUGCAAUUGGAGGGGAAAAAAAUUGCAUUAAGUUUAUUUGACAUUUAGGUGUUCUUUAGGGAAACUAAAUGUGCACUCGUGACCCUUAUUGUACUUUCAUUUUUAAAAGUUAUUAAUAAACCAGUUCAUACAUUGUAAACAUGGACUAUUCGGAAUGGAUUUAGACACAGAAAGCACGUUUGAGGUAAAAUUGCCAUUGAAAUGGGGGUUUACGGGUGUUUUCUUAGUCAAAUGGGUGGACAGACAAAGCUGUAUUUAGUUUACUGUGUUAAAUUUUAAAUUACCCUUACAGUUUUUGUUUUGUUUAUACAACAUGUGAAAUUUUUAUUUCAGUGUUAACCAUGUUCUGAAGAGCAUUCUGUUGAAAAAUCUUAUAUGUGACAUGGUCUGCAGAUGACACUUCAGCAUUAAAGUAAUGUAUCAACUAUCAUCAUGUUUUUUUUGUUUUUUUGGCCGCAAAAGUUUACAAUUUGCCAUUGUGCCGUCUACAUUUUGCACAGACAAUAAAUCAUCUAAACACUUAUUUGCCCUGGAUUUAUACACAUCAGAAUCCAGUCUCACAUACUUAAACUUUAUAAUUCUUACCAAUUAUUUUUUUUGUACCAGCAUUCCAAGGGACAUAACCCUUUUUAAAAACAUUUUGAGGUAUUUUUUAUUACUCUUUCUCCCCAUUUUCUAAUGUAAAAUACAAGAAAGUGGACUUUUGUGUAAAUCUAUUAGAAAUAUACUGUUAUGAGUAAAUAAAAAGACUUUGAUACCAGUAAGCAAUAAAUGAUUGACUGAAAGGGAACCGUUAUUUGUCACACUAGGCGAACAGACCAAAAACUCAAGUUACACAUAAGGGCUUAUAGAAACUUCCGUGUAGACUGUUAACAUUUAUAGAGACAGUUCUUUCAGCUAAAACACUUUAAUUAUUGAUUUAACAUUACAUUUAUUUCAUUUUUGUGGGAAAAUAAUCACAUUUGUUUUAUUUUUUAGACAAAAGAUAUCAAGUUUUGAUGAAAAAGGAAGGAAGGAGGAAAAAUGGACCAAAAACAGACCAAAACAGACCUUCAAAUGAACUCUAAAAGGUGCAAUAAAAUUGUUUAUCAUCUUAAAGUUGUCUUUUGUAUUCUAUUUAAUUGUUUGAAUGCAUAGAUCAUGAGUUUAUGAUCAGAUAUUAGUCAACACUGCAUUUUAUAAUGAUACACUGAAAUUAGGAUUUUUCGAAGAAAUUAGACUGAAAUUGCCGUAGGAUAUGGCCUUACAUUAUAGUGAUUUUCUCUGAAACUAUAGUUCUGACUGAGACAAAACUUGACAGUUAUGCUUGAAAUAACUUGGCAAUUGGAGGGGAAAAAAUUACAUUAAGUUUAUUUGACAUUUAGGUGUUCUUUAGGGAAACUAAAUGUGCACUCGUGACCCUAUUGUACUUUCAUUUUUAAAAGUUAUUAAUAAACCAGUUCAUACAUUGUAAACAUGGACUAUUCGGAAUGGAUUUAGACACAGAAAGCACGUUUGAGGUAAAAUUGCAUUGAAAUGGGGGUUUACGGGUGUUUUCUUAGUCAAAUGGGUGGACACAAACGAAGCUGUAUUUAGUUUACUGUGUUAAAUUUUAAAUUACCCUUACAGUUUUUGUUUUGUUUAUACAACAUGUGAAAUUUUUUAUUUCAGUGUUAACCAUGUUCUGAAGAGCAUUCUGUUGAAAAAUCUUAUAUGUGAAUUGGUCUGCAGAUGACACUUCAGCAUUAAAGUAAUGUAUCAACUAUCAUCAUGUUUUUUUUUUGUUUUGGCCGCAAAAGUUUACAAUUUGCCAUUGUGCCGUCUACAUUUUGCACAGACAAUAACUCAUCUAAACACUUAUUUGUCCUGGAUUUAUACACAUCAGAAUCCAGUCUCACAUACUUAAACUUUAUAAUUCUUACCAAUUAUUUUUUGUACCAGCAUUCCAAGGGACAUAACCCUUUUUAAAAACAUUUUGAGGUAUUUUUUAUUACUCUUUCUCCCCAUUUUCUAAUGUAAAAUACAAGAAAGUGGACUUUUUGUGUAAAUCUAUUAGAAAUAUACUGUUAUGAGUAAAUAAAAAGACUUUGAUACCAGUAGCAAUAAAUGAUUGACUGAAAGGGAACCGUUAUUUCUCACACUAGGGGGAACAGACCAAAAACUCAAGUUACACAUAAGGGCUUAUAGAAACUUCCGUGUAGACUGUUAACAUUUAUAGAGACAGUUCUUUCAGCUAAAACACUUUAAUUAUUGAUUUAACAUUACAUUUAUUUCAUUUUUGUGGGAAAAUAAUCACAUUUGUUUUAUUUUUUAGACAAAAGAUAUCAAGUUUUGAUGAAAAAGGAAGGAAGGAGGAAAAAAUGGACCAAAACAGACCAAAACAGACCUUCAAAUGAACUCUAAAAGGUGCAAUAAAAUUGUUUAUCAUCUUAAAGUUGUCUUUUGUAUUCUAUUUAAUUGUUUGAAUGCAUAGAUCAUGAGUUUAUGAUCAGAUAUAUUAGUCAACACUGCAUUUUAUAAUGAUACACUGAAAUUAGGAUUUUUCGAAGAAAUUGGACUGAAAUUGCCGUAGGAUAUGGCCUUACAUUAUAGUGAUUUUCUCUGAAACUAUAGUUCUGACUGAGACAAAACUUGACAGUUAUGCUUGAAAUAACUUGCAAUUGGAGGGGAAAAAAUUGCAUUAAGUUUAUUUGACAUUUAGGUGUUCUUUAGGGAAACUAAAUGUGCACUCGUGACCUUAUUGUACUUUCAUUUUUAAAAGUUAUUAAUAAACCAGUUCAUACAUUGUAAACAUGGACUAUUCGGAAUGGAUUUAGACACAGAAAGCACGUUUGAGGUAAAAUUGCCUUGAAAUGGGGGUUUACGGGUGUUUUCUUAAGUCAAAUGGGUGGACAGACAAAGCUGUAUUUAGUUUACUGUGUUAAAUUUUAAAUUACCCUUACAGUUUUUGUUUUGUUUAUACAACAUGUGAAUUUUUUAUUUCAGUGUUAACCAUGUUCUGAAGAGCAUUCUGUUGAAAAAUCUUAUAUGUGAAUUGGUCUGCAGAUGACACUUCAGCAUUAAAGUAAGUAUCAACUAUCAUCAUGUUUUUUUUUUUUUUGGCCGCAAAAGUUUACAAUUUGCCAUUGUGCCGUCUACAUUUUGCACAGACAAUAAAUCAUCUAAACACUUAUUUGCCCUGGAUUUAUACACAUCAGAAUCCAGUCUCACAUACUUAAACUUUAUAAUUCUUACCAAUUAUUUUUUGUACCAGCAUUCCAAGGGACAUAACCCUUUUUAAAAACAUUUUGAGGUAUUUUUUAUUACUCUUUCUCCCCAUUUUCUAAUGUAAAAUACAAGAAAGUGGACUUUUUGUGUAAAUCUAUUAGAAAUAUACUGUUAUGAGUAAAUAAAAAGACUUUGAUACCAGUAACAAUAAAUGAUUGACUGAAAGGGAACCGUUAUUUGUCACACUAGGCGAACAGACCAAAAACUUGAGUUACACAUAAGGGCUUAUAGAAACUUCCGUGUAGACUGUUAACAUUUAUAGAGACAGUUCUUUCAGCUAAAACACUUUAAUUAUUGAUUUAACAUUACAUUUAUUUCAUUUUUGUGGGGAAAAUAAUCACAUUUGUUUUAUUUUUUAGACAAAAGAUAUCAAGUUUUGAUGAAAAAGGAAGGAAGGAGGAAAAAUGGACCAAAACAGACCAAAACAGACCUUCAAAUGAACUCUAAAAGGUGCAAUAAAAUUGUUUAUCAUCUUAAAGUUGUCUUUUGUAUUCUAUUUAAUUGUUUGAAUGCAUAGAUCAUGAGUUUAUGAUCAGAUAUUAGUCAACACUGCAUUUUAUAAUGAUACACUGAAAAUAGGAUUUUUCGAAGAAAUUAGACUGAAAUUGCCGUAGGAUAUGGCCUUACAUUAUAGUGAUUUUCUCUGAAACUAUAGCUCUGACUGAGACAAAACUUGACAGUUAUGCUUGAAAUAACUUGCAAUUGGAGGGAAAAAAUUACAUUAAGUUUAUUUGACAUUUAGGUGUUCUUUAGGGAAACUACAUGUGCACUCGUGACCUUAUUGUACUUUCAUUUUUAAAAGUUAUUAAUAAACCAGUUCAUACAUUGUAAACAUGGACUAUUCGGAAUGGAUUUAGACACAGAAAGCACGUUUGAGGUAAAAUUGCCUUGAAAUGGGGGUUUACGGGUGUUUUCUAAGUCAAAUGGGUGGACAGACAAAGCUGUAUUUAGUUUACUGUGUUAAAUUUUAAAUUACCCUUACAGUUUUUGUUUUGUUUAUACAACAUGUGAAUUUUUUUAUUUCAGUGUUAACCAUGUUCUGAAGA
Molecule: long non-coding RNA, 9410 nt
Filed under: Mytilus galloprovincialis (Mediterranean mussel)
Lineage: Eukaryota; Metazoa; Mollusca; Bivalvia; Mytilida; Mytilidae
Source: RNAcentral